UACGUACCGUACGAACGUUAUUCGGAAUUACUGGGCUUAAAGGGUUUGUAGGCGGCCAUGUAAGUGGGGUGUGAAAUCCCUCGGCUCAACCGAGGAAUGGCGCCCCAUACUGUAUGGCUUGAGGGAGACAGGGGUAAGCGGAACUGAUGGUGGAGCGGUGAAAUGCGUUGAUAUCAUCAGGAACACCGGUGGCGAAAGCGGCUUACUGGGUCUCUUCUGACGCUGAGGAACGAAAGCUAGGGUAGCGAACGGG
Molecule: ribosomal RNA, 253 nt
Filed under: uncultured bacterium
Lineage: Bacteria
Description: partial 16S ribosomal RNA
Rfam family: Bacterial small subunit ribosomal RNA
Source: RNAcentral